CUGAAAAACCUCACAACCUAUUGAGUUGAGUGUUCCUAUCAAAAUGGCCCUUUAAUAAUAAUCUUUUGUUGGAUGCUGGGUGGAGUGCUAACUUCCUUCUGGGGAUUGAUUGAAAUAACACUGAAGCUAAUCAGUAAUCAGACUUCUUAUCCUCUAUUCAGGACUUACUUUCGUCUGGUGUCAAGAGGGCUGUAGCAYGGUGACCCUGAAACAGUCCUCAACAGAUUGCAUGCCUUUAUAAACUAGCUGUGCUGAAUAGAGAAGAUUGAAUUGUUGGAAGUAGCUCACAUCAUGUAGUCAGCUUCAGAAAGUCAAUAUCCUUGAGAUAUCAUCCUCCUGUGUAACCAUCUGUCAGACUGUUCCCUGCCUUAAUAACUUCUGAGUCUACCGGACAAUUUCAAAUAUUGGUACAAGGCAAUCCAGGUCAUAAAGCCAUCAGAAACCCAGGGGCUAAUAUUCCUGUCUGGGAUCUGCUGCAAAUUCUGCACGAGUCACCUGCAUCCCUAAGUAAAUCAGUUGUAUCCCCUUUUCCUGAGCACUCAUCAG
Long non-coding RNA from Nothoprocta perdicaria, 546 nucleotides. RefSeq lists it as uncharacterized. NCBI's taxonomy places the organism in Eukaryota, Metazoa, Chordata, Aves, Tinamiformes, Tinamidae. The record is from RefSeq and is a predicted model, not a curated record. The transcript is spliced from 3 exons.